UGGGGAAUAUUGGGCAAUGGGGGAAACCCUGACCCAGCAACGCCGCGUGAAGGAAGAAGGCUUUCGGGUUGUAAACUUCUUUUACCAGGGACGAAUAGAUGACGGUACCUGGAGAAAAAGCUCCGGCUAACUACGUGCCAGCAGCCGCGGUAAUACGUAGGGAGCAAGCGUUGUCCGGAUUUACUGGGUGUAAAGGGCGUGUAGGCGGAGAUGCAAGUCAGAUGUGAAAUCUGGGGGCUCAACCCCCAAACUGCAUUUGAAACUGUAUCCCUUGAGUAUCGGAGAGGCAGGCGGAAUUCCUAGUGUAGCGGUGAAAUGCGUAGAUAUUAGGAGGAACACCAGUGGCGAAGGCGGCCUGCUGGACGACAACUGACGCUGAGGCGCGAAAGCGUGGGGAGCAAACAGG
This 406-nucleotide ribosomal RNA is filed under the name uncultured bacterium. RNAcentral describes it as "bacterial SSU rRNA". It matches the Rfam family "Bacterial small subunit ribosomal RNA", at positions 355 to 776 of the family's 1533-position model. The record is from RNAcentral.